GAAAUGCGAUAAGUAGUGUGAAUUGCAGAAUUCAGUGAAUCAUCGAAUCUUUGAACGCACAUUGCGCCCUUUGGUAUUCCUUAGGGCAUGCCUGUUCGAGCGUCAUUUAAACCUUCAAGCUCAGCUUGGUGAUGGGCGACUGUCCCCCCCCCUCGCGGGGGGGACUCGCCUCAAAAACAUUGGCGGCCGGUACAUUGGCUUCGAGCGCAGCAGAAACGCGGUCUCGAGCCCGGUGGAUCGGCUCCCAUAAGCCUAUUCUUUUAUUUUGACCUCGGAUCAGGUAGGGAUACCCGCUGAACUUAAGC
Molecule: unclassified non-coding RNA, 305 nt
Filed under: plant metagenome
Description: partial contains 5.8S ribosomal RNA, internal transcribed spacer 2, and large subunit ribosomal RNA
Rfam family: 5.8S ribosomal RNA (bases 1-105)
Source: RNAcentral